GACGAACGCUGGCGGCGUGCCUAACACAUGCAAGUUGAGCGAAGAACCAGGGCUUGCCCUGGGGCAAAGCAGCGCACGGGUGAGUAACACGUGGGUAACCUACCCCGAUAACCGGGACAACCCGGGGAAACUCGUGCUAAUACGGGAUUUACUCCCUGUACUUCGGUUCAGUGCGUAAUGGAAGGGUCGGCCUCCUUAUCGGGAUGGGCGCGCGGCCCACGAGUUUGUUGGUGAGGUAACGGCUCACCGAGACCGCGAUGGGUAGCUGGUCGGAGAGGACGAUCAGCCACACUGGGACUGAGACACGGACCAGACUCCGACGGGAGGCAGCAGUGGGGAAUCUUGCGCAAUGCGCGAAAGCGUGACGCAGCAACGCCGCGUGGGGGAAGAAGGUCUUCGGGUUGUAAACCCCUUCCAGGAGGGACGAAGGUUCGGCGGUGAAUAGCCGUCCGGACUGACGGUACCUCCACAAGAAGCCCCGGCUAACUACGUG
Molecule: ribosomal RNA, 493 nt
Filed under: uncultured bacterium
Lineage: Bacteria
Description: partial 16S ribosomal RNA
Rfam family: Bacterial small subunit ribosomal RNA
Source: RNAcentral